AUGAAGCCGGAAUUGCUAGUAAUGGCAGGUCAGCAUACUGCCGUGAAUACGUUCCCGGGCCUUGUACACACCGCCCGUCACACCAUGGGAGUUUGUAACGCCCAAAGUCGGUGGCCUAACCUUUAUGGAGGGAGCCGCCUAAGGCGGGACAGAUGACUGGGGUGAAGUCGUAACAAGGUAUC
This 182-nucleotide ribosomal RNA is filed under the name uncultured bacterium. Its description in RNAcentral is "partial 16S ribosomal RNA". It matches the Rfam family "Bacterial small subunit ribosomal RNA", at positions 1320 to 1500 of the family's 1533-position model. The record is from RNAcentral.